This 213-nucleotide long non-coding RNA is filed under the name Brassica napus (rape). RNAcentral's name for it is "long non-coding RNA (BNAP_LNC010102)". Lineage: Eukaryota; Viridiplantae; Streptophyta; Magnoliopsida; Brassicales; Brassicaceae. The record is from RNAcentral.
UGGCUGAAGAAACACAUCAAGUGAUCUCUUAGGAUGCUCUGGUCCAGGAACGAGAAUCGAGAGAAACAAAAACUCUCGUCGCAAACACAAGUUUGGGGGUAGGUUGUAUGGUGUAAGAAUGACGGGCCAUAGAGAAUACUGUCUUCCACUCUUGCCAAACGGACUGAAACCAUCAGUACAUAAUCCAAGGUAGAUAUUUCUUCUCUCAUACGC